AGUGGUUUGACGUUACGUCCGUUGGAUUAUGCUUGACGCCUUUUAAGGUCGUAUCGGUGCUGGACUGCAAUGAUAAAUAAGGGGCAAUUUGCAUUGUAUGGCUUCUAAACCAUUAAAAGUUUUUAAUUUGUUUUAUUAACGACAAUGGAUGUGAUGCCAAUGUUAUUUAUAACAUAGUAAAUUGGGAGGAUCUUCGAUCACCUGAUGCCGCGCUAGUUAUAUUUUAAAACAUUAUUUAAUACAAUGUCAAAGCCUAGAAUCAAUUGUAAACGACUUUUGUAACAGGCAAGGUGUUGUAAGUGGUUGAGCAGCUGCCAUACUGCGAUCCACUGAAGCUUAUCCUUUGCUUGAUGAUUCGA
RNAcentral lists this non-coding RNA (359 nucleotides) under Drosophila virilis. RNAcentral describes it as "Eukaryotic large subunit ribosomal RNA". It matches the Rfam family "Eukaryotic large subunit ribosomal RNA", at positions 3087 to 3401 of the family's 3401-position model. The record is from Rfam by way of RNAcentral. Lineage: Eukaryota; Metazoa; Arthropoda; Insecta; Diptera; Drosophilidae.